Molecule: unclassified non-coding RNA, 36 nt
Filed under: Nostocoides australiense Ben110
Lineage: Bacteria; Bacillati; Actinomycetota; Actinomycetes; Micrococcales; Intrasporangiaceae
Description: Tetrasphaera australiensis Ben110 SNORD69
Source: RNAcentral
UCAAAUCAGCACACCUAGGGAGGUCUGCUGAUUUGA